Molecule: ribosomal RNA, 1563 nt
Filed under: Triticum aestivum (bread wheat)
Lineage: Eukaryota; Viridiplantae; Streptophyta; Magnoliopsida; Poales; Poaceae
Description: partial small subunit ribosomal RNA
Source: RNAcentral
AUGGGGAACUCGCUCGGGUGCUCCGCGUCCGGCGAGCGGCUGGUGUCCGCGGCGCGGGACGGGGACGCCGUCGAGGCGCGCAUGCUGCUCGAGCUCAGCCCGGCGCUCGCGCGCUACUCCACCUUCGGCGGCCUCAACUCCCCGCUCCACUUCGCCGCCGCCAAGGGCCACCUCGACAUUGUGACGCUGCUGCUGGAGAAGGGCGCGGAUGUGAACGCGCGGAACUACUGCGGCCAGACUGCAUUGAUGCAUGCAUGCCGACAUGGACACUGGGAGGUGGUUCAGAUGCUUCUGCUCUUCAGAUGCAAUGUUACCAGGGCGGAUUACUUGAGUGGUCGAACGGCAUUGCACUUUGCAGCACACGACGGACUUGUUCGGUGUGUAAGGCUGUUACUUGCCGACUUCAUCCCAAGUGGGCCCUUGGAGGAUACUGCCUCUUCGGUGGCAGAUGGCGGUGAUUCUCAGAUGAAUAGCGGCAGCAGUCCUACUUCUUCACUGGGACUCAAGUUUAAUGAACCUGCUCGUGUGAGGUACAUCAACAAACCUGCUGAUGGCGGUGUUACCGCUCUUCACAUGGCAGCUUUGAAUGGUCAUUUCGAUUGCAUGCAAUUGUUGAUUGAGUUAGGUGCAAAUGUCUCAGCUGUCACAUUUCCAUACGGAACUACAUCAAAUUUGAUAGGAGCUGGCAGUACUCCUUUGCAUUAUGCAGCCGGUGGGGGCAGUCUGGAGUGUUGUCAGGUACUUCUUUCAAAAGGUGCUAGCAGGUUGACACUCAACUGCAAUGGGUGGCUUCCCAUGGAUGUUGCUAGGAUAUUUGGACGCCGUUGCUUGGAGCCAUUACUUUCUCCAAAUUCACACACGAUUAUUCCAGCAAUUCAGCCAUCCAGUUAUCUUGCCUUGCCACUGAUGAGCAUACUUAAUAUAGCCAGAGAAUUUGGGUUGCAACACACCGUAUCCUCGGUGGAUGAGAGUGACCUUUGUGCAGUUUGCCUGGAACGGUCUUGCUCUGUAGCUGCUGAAGGCUGUGGUCACGAGUUCUGCAUCAAAUGCGCUCUCUAUCUUUGCUCAACCAGCAACGUCCGUGUGGAGUUCACAGGCCCAGCUGGGUCAAUCCCAUGCCCUCUCUGCAGGAAUGGAAUAAUGUCAUUCACUAAGCUGCCGAGCACACCGACAGAAGGGCUCAAAUCAAGCUCAGCACUCACAUUCUGCAAUCCGUGCAUUUUGAAUACCCGUUCUGUGGACUCCCCAGCAACUGUCUGUAAAGCUGAAAUCAGGCGCAACCGUGUGGCAGCUCUCUCUUCCGAGUUGGUCUGUCCACUGACAUGCAGCCCAUUUCCGUCGUCCGCCCUCCCAACCUGCAGGUGCAGUGACGACGAUCCAUGCGGCUCAACAGAAACGCUGGAUGGCUCCGAGGUGCAAUCUCCACGGCCCUCGCACAGCACAAGCACAGAGCUGGAUAAGAGGGGAGAGCAGGACGUUGACCGGACCACCUGCUCAGGCAUGUUCUGGAGUCGCAGAAGCUGUCAGAGGGAGCAGCAGUGCAAUGCGGAAAUCAAUGCUUGA